This 959-nucleotide long non-coding RNA is filed under the name Mus pahari (shrew mouse). RNAcentral describes it as "lncRNA (MGP_PahariEiJ_G0002832.1)". Lineage: Eukaryota; Metazoa; Chordata; Mammalia; Rodentia; Muridae. The record is from RNAcentral.
AAAAGCCGAAGGUACUCUAGAGGAAACCAGCUCUCCUGGUUGGUCCAGGGUCUCACUCUGGACCAUAGUUUGGGGGCCAGCCUGGAAUACAUAAUGACCUUACUAUUCACUAUGUAGCCCAGAGUGGCUUCAGCCUGAUGGACAUCCUGCUUGAGCCUUCCACCUGUUGUAGCCCAGUACGUUUGGAUGCCGACCUCCCAUGACUCUGGAUGAGGUCCGUGACAUCACAUACAUGUUCAUGGGCUGCUGCCCGAAGGGACACAGUGAUGCAGAGGUUCCCACCUGCACUGUCCCCCGCAAGGCAUAUCCGCUCUCCGGUUGAACCUAGUUGUGGGGGGAAGAGCCCAGUCAUAUCCUGGCAUGAGCAGGCGUCAUAGGAGAUGAGCCUGGCUAGCACAGGACCCGGUCCCGUGUGUGCCAAGGGAGGCGAGAUGGUAACCGUGAGCCUGGGAUCAGAGCCCUCGGGCUUGGGGCGCUGUAGCGAGCAGUUGUAGCUUCGCUGGCUGUCUGGGAGUCUGCUGGGCUUUCUCCUCGCUGAGCUCACCGAUAGCACCUCGAUCUCAGUGAUGUUCCAGAAGGCUUUCCAGAAGUGGACAUCCAGGUUCUGUAUGAUACGUUCAAAUUCAGCCCCGCGCAACUCUGGGUCUAUGGCGAAUCGGCCACCGUGUUCCCCGAAGGACACCAGCCCGAUGGAGAGAGUCUGCAGGAACGGCCGGAUGGCAGGUGUGAACUGUGAAGGAAUGCCUGUGUCACCCAAGUACCCAGGAGAGGGAUGAGGAUGGGGCACGAGUUGGGACAGAGAUAGGAGUAGGCACAUACAUUUGGUAAGGUAGGCACAUACAUUUGGUAAGCUUUUACUGGGCUGCUGUGGUAUGCUGUGAGCAUCACCCUGGCCCUUUCAUGGACCUAGUGUCCUCAAAGGAAGGAGACGAUGAACAAAAUAAAGACAUGUCUAAAUC